UACGUAGGGUGCAAGCGUUUGUCCGGAAUUAUUGGGCGUAAAGAGCUCGUAGGCGGUUUGUCGCGUCUGCUGUGAAAACCCGAGGCUCAACCUCGGGCCUGCAGUGGGUACGGGCAGACUAGAGUGCGGUAGGGGAGAAUGGAAUUCCUGGUGUAGCGGUGGAAUGCGCAGAUAUCAGGAGGAACACCGAUGGCGAAGGCAGUUCUCUGGGCCGUUACUGACGCUGAGGAGCGAAAGCGUGGGGAGCGAACAGG
Molecule: ribosomal RNA, 254 nt
Filed under: uncultured bacterium
Lineage: Bacteria
Description: partial 16S ribosomal RNA
Rfam family: Bacterial small subunit ribosomal RNA
Source: RNAcentral